This 279-nucleotide ribosomal RNA is filed under the name uncultured bacterium. RNAcentral describes it as "partial 16S ribosomal RNA". It matches the Rfam family "Bacterial small subunit ribosomal RNA", at positions 506 to 784 of the family's 1533-position model. The record is from RNAcentral.
UGCCAGCAGCCGCGGUAAUACGGAGGGUGCAAGCGUUGUCCGGAAUCACUGGGUUUAAAGGGUGCGUAGGCGGUCCGAUAAGUCAGAGGUGAAAUACACGAGCUUAACUGGUGAAUUGCCUUUGAAACUAUCGAGCUAGAAUUAUGUUGAGGUCAGCGGAAUGAGUCAUAUAGCGGUGAAAUGCAUAGAUAUGACUUAGAACACCAAUUGCGUAGGCAGCUGGCUAGGCAUUGAUUGACGCUGAGGCACGAAAGCGUGGGGAGCGAACAGGAUUAGAUA